Molecule: long non-coding RNA, 6514 nt
Organism: Brienomyrus brachyistius
Lineage: Eukaryota; Metazoa; Chordata; Actinopteri; Osteoglossiformes; Mormyridae
Exons: 2
Source: RefSeq, a predicted model, not a curated record
UGUACGUGACUUUUCUGAACAUAUAGGCUAUUUCCAUAGGGUAGCCACAAAUGCUACAGUAAACACUAGUUCGCUGCUUAAGACUAAUGUAUCAUGCAGUUUUAAUAACAAUUAAUUAAAUAAUUAAUAAUCAAAGACCAAAUUAAUAUCCGUCGCUUUGCUCAUAUUAUAAAUAACCUGAUAUUGCCCCCUGUAUAUUGGGCCGAAUUUUCUUCCCAGUCCAUUACUUUCCACCGUAAAAAAUAGCCAACAGAUAAUAUGAGCGCCUACAAAGGUUACAGCAGAUUCCUUUGCUUUCUUCUCUUCAUCUGCUCAAUAAACGUGUUAUUUGACUGCUUAGGACACAGCAAGAGGGUUGAAAUUUGCGAUUUCAGAGAUGAAGACGGGGAAAUCCAAACAAAAUCGUACUGGCAAAAUUGUUCAGAAUCGCCGGAAUUGCGCGGCGUGGCGGUAGGUGGCACUCGAUUGUUUUACGGGCGGUAAGCGAAAACCGACUCGCUGGUGCUAGCCGAGCUUCAGCAGCUAGUCCUGGGCGGAAUCCCACAGCGCCUCGUGGUGCGCCUAACCCGUCCGGCUCCUGACGCCGGCUUUGUCACUAGAGAUUAGGACCAGCGGUGUGCAAUGGAUCUUAACAUAAAAAACUAUGUAAAGUACCAACUGCUGAUGCCUUCUUCCGGGCACCUCAGUUUGCCCCGUGGACAGCGAGACGGUACGUAGUGUUUCGGCGGUCGCGUACAAGGAAUGUAUUUUCAGUUAUACUGUAUAAAGGUUUGUAGCUUUGCUUUUGAUUACGUUUGUGAAUAAUUAUUCGUGUGUCGUUUAAUGUCGUUUUUGUUAAAAUGCAUUAUUUUGAUGGAUAGGUGACCGGGCUUUUUAUGUUCUCUGUUAGGGGUUACACACAGUCUUCUUCCUAUGUUCACGUGUUUUAAUAAUUGUUCCACCGAUCUGGGUAGAACAAUUAUUAAAACACGUGAACAUAGGGGUUACACACAGUCUUCUUCCUAACAGGAAGUUAGGAAGUGCUCCACACAAACACGAACGAGUGUUAUUUUUCAAUUACGUGUGGCUUGCCGUGAUCGUAUAGUGGUUAGUACUUUGCGUUGUGGCCGCAACAGCCCCGGUUCGAAUCCGAGUCACGGCAGAUGAUGUCUUAUAAAGCUAUUACUUUUCACACCACAUGUUUCAACUUACGUUUUUAAAUCUCUUUUUUUUAAUCAAUUUAGCUGUUUAUUUACUUGAAACCGUAGUAUUCAAAGUCGGAUAUUAAUCUGAAUGCUGAAACUCAUUUUCGGGUUAUUAAAAACAAGAACCCUGUAUCCAAUUAGGAGUACUUGCUUGUUUGUGAAGCUGAAUUAUACAGAGAUCUGCUUCAUUUUCUGUAUAUCUACUUAUAGGACGUUCGUCGGACGUUUUUCUUAAAAAAAAAAAGAAAACUAAUAAAAUGACAUGACGUUAUUCUUGCUUCUGCAAUGAAUCCUCCAGAUAGUGGAGACGGCAGCGAAAUUGCAUCCAACAUGUUACACACAACAAUACAAUUUGUAAUAUAUAUUUAACUGUCAGUAAGUUUAAUGAUAUUGUCCUGCCAGAGUUUAAACACAGUGAGCACACCUGUGUAGCAGGCAUCUCCUGUCCUGCUGUCCUUCACAUCCUCCCUGCAUUGGUUUAAUGGUUGGGCCAACGCUGUGGAUACCAUGAUUAUUGUUAGCCUGUAUAGUGCUGAUUGCCAGCAGGCCGUCGUGUCACAAUGCACAAAGUAUGGUAUUCUCUCCAUCCAUCCAUUUUCCAAACUGCUUAUCCUACUGGGUCGCGGGGGGUCCCCGGAGCUUAUGCCAGAAUGGCACGUGGCAGGGAACAACCCAGGAUGGGGGGACAGCCCAUCGCAGGGCACACUCACUCCAUUCACUCACACAUGCACUCCUACGGGCAAUUUAGCAAGUCCAAUUAGCCUCAGCAUGUUUUUGGACUGUGAGGGGAAACUGGAGUACCUGGAGGAAACCCCAUGACGACAUGGGAAGAACAUGCAAACUCCACACACAUGUAACCCAGGCGGAAACUCGAACCCGGGACCCAGAGGUGUGAGGCAACAAUGCUAACCACUGCACCACAAUGCCGCCCCAAGUUUGGUAUUAUUUGUUUUAAAUAAAUAAAUAAAUAAAUAUAAAAGACAUGCAAUUGCAAGACACUGUCUCCAUAAACUUUAUUAUAUUAUCAGAACUUCAUUAGCAGCCGUUAUUGAUCCAGGAUUUUUUUCAUUCAGGGUCUAGUGAACGUUGAUCAAAUCAUUUUUUGAUGUUUUUACAGGAGAUUCUUCUGCUUUUUUCUGUUCAUCUGCUCGAUAAACGUGUUAUCUAACUGCUUAGGAUGAUGCUGCUAACGUAGCCUGUUUGCUGUUAUAAGAUCUUGUUAUAUUAUAAGAUCCCCUACGUAAAGUCGCCGACUUGAUACUAAGGAGAUCAUGUUUAAUUCUGAAGCUUGACUUUUAAAAAAAUUACAUCGCAAAACGAAUCAGAACCUCUGUCAAAAAAAAAAAUCACAAUUAACCUUUCUGCUUCACAAACCAAAAAACAACACGGGCCAAGAAAAAUAGUUCAUGAGAGUUUAUUUAAUUGCAGUACGUUACAGGUCAGUACAUUUUGCCACAGUCACAUCCUGCUCAUUCCCAUCAGUGCGGUAAGGUGGCCAAGACAGGUCAACGAAGAGUUUUCUUGUCCGAGUUGCCCCUGUGACGCAAUUUCAACAUGGCGGCUUACACACUCUACAGGAAUUCUAUUUUAUAAAUCUUUAAAAAUGUUUAUUUUGUUAAAUGUAUGAAUAGUUAUAAAUGUAAUUGCACGUGUUAGAUUUAGAGAAUAAAAUAUCGUGACCGUAAACAGUAUCCUAGCAUGCAAUAUCAGUUUUUUACCAGACUUACUGUUUUUGAUUUGUUUGUAGUUUGUUUGCCUCUCGAAAAAAGAAUAUCGCUAUGAAUGUACUAAAAUAUUUUAUAAAUAUUUAACAGCAUUCCCAAUAUAAAGCAAUUGUAGGUUCAGGGCCCACUAGAGUUAGAUCAUUGCUGGCAUUCACAGGAUUCAAAUCAGCAACCUUCCGAUUGCUGGCACAGCUUGCUAGCCUCAGAGCUACCACAGUGAUUUACUGUAAAUGCAUUUAAUUUAGUAGCAGAACAAAUUCUUCAUUAUUCAUUAGCCAAUCACUUAAACAUAGUUGACGGUGGAGUCCGUGGGUGUGUGUAUGUAUGUAUGUGUCCUGCCCCGAUUGUCUGCUCCUCCUGCGUGUCACGCCCUCUCGCUGACCUAGUGUGGAUUCCCCGUGUUCACCAGCUGUUUCCGGUUACCGUCGUCAGUCCAAUGUAUUCAGUUUGUUUGCCCAUACAGGUCAUUGUAUUGUCUGUCUACGUUUUGGCUCGCUUUAUGCACCAUUAAAACCCGUAAUCCCAGACUUGUCUCCGCUUGUGCUUCCCUGGAUCAAUGCAUGACAGUAUGUGUGCGCGUGCGUACACGUUCAUUCGUUCGUCCGUUUGUCCGUCCGUGGUCAGUGUUAGUUGUGACCUGUGUGCUUGGUUUUCUAGUCCUGCUCCUCUGUUUAGCUUAGUUCCUUAGUUUUGUUAAUUAGUGGUUUCUCCCAGGUUGUUUUGGAUCCUUCGUGGUCAUUUUAUUUAGUAUUUUACCCCAGGGUGUUCCGUUUUUCUUUAUUAAACACCAUUUUUGUCUUGGAGCGGUAGUGGAUCGUCACCUUUUUCCUGCCUGCGCCAUAAAAGUUAGCCUUUUCAGAAAUAAAAAAAUCACAUUAUAAACAUUUCUAGCCAGGACUUUUGAGCUCUGAAGCUUAUAGACACAGGGGUUGGCUACACAUAGGUGAAUGAGAUGUUCUGAAAUUUUAUGUAGUUUGAUUACUAAAGUGUUACAACUUUGGAGUGACACACUGUUUUUUUCAAAGUCAGUGGUCUACACAAUAUUGAUGACACAGGUGUCCCACACCUGUAGGUGUUUGCAUACUGUCAGUGGCCCAUCAGUCUGGAAUGUCACUACACCCCACAAUCAUCAUUUUGGAAAGGCAGUUUGAAACGCAAGAAAAGUAGCAACAAUAAAAUCCUCUAAAGUCUCUUUUAUAAGACAGACCUGGUCAACAUAGCAGCCGUACAAACUUACAAACAUAUGAAAACACAACGUGUUUAUGUCCUUUAUCACCCAGGGGCAGAAUGUUACCAAGAGUGCGGUGCGACUUCACAUUUCUGGUCCGUCUUACCUACAUUCUCCAUCACAGUCAGGCACAGGAGGGACACAGAGGCGAAGGAAGAUGUUUAGUUAUCUUAAGUACUUGGCCAUCCAUGGUGUUUGUGGAGUUUUUAUGCAGUGCUUCAUCGAUUCAGCCAAGCAAGCAGACCUGGUAGCUAUCAGACUGAUUCAAGGGUGUAGCUUUGGGUACGGACAGUAAGGACAUGUCCCUAUAAAUACUCUGGGAGUACUGUGUGUGUUAUAGGGGGACGGGAGUUUGGAGGUUGAUUUUGUCCUUACCAACGUUGAAACCAAACCUACGCCUUCGGGUUGGUUUAGGAGAAAUAUCCCAAGCAGUCAGUUUAUUUCAUUUUUCUUUUAUUUAACCAGAGUGUCACACUGAGACAAAGUCCCUUUUCUAAGCGAGCCCUAGCCAAGAAACAGCAGCACAAGGUUAAAACAUAGCACACAACAUAAAACAUAAUCGUACACAAAGGCAGAUUAAAGAAAAGAUGAAGUGUAUGACAAAACACAAUCCAAUACAUUCACAAUGGUACCUUACAAGAUUUCCAACCAGAAAGUGAAAUAAAUGAAGUUUUAACUGAUUUUGUCAUAAGUUCCAGGAAGAAGGUAUGUUAUAGCAAAAUGCAACCUUAUGAAAUUCAGUUGUUAUAAUGGGUUAAUAAGAAUGAGAAUAUUAUUAUUAUUACCUGAGAUUAUGUAUUGUUGGUUAACUAUUAGAAAACAUAGAGAUGCGAUGGUAACGAACCAAUAAUUGUUUAUGGAGACAGUACAUAUCAUACUCUCCUUUCCUCAACCCUAUUGCACAUUUUUUUUUCAACUGUCCAAGCCAUGGAUGAGGCAUGCAGUGACAUGACUUUAGACCAGCGUCAGGCCUAGAUUCGCCAUGCCAGAAGAUUCUUUCCAAGAUGCUUGGCAAGAGAAAACAUUCAUUGAUUCAGUGAUGUGGAUGAGAACCUGUGGCCAAAUCCACAUUUAGUUUUUUGUAAGGCAGGUUAGGAACAUUGCAGAACUUUAGUUGUGAGAAUUUAUGCUGUGUAUUUUAUCAAUAAAUUUUGGAUUUGUUUAAAUGAUUCCACUGCAUCUGUAUAUGCAUGUUUUUUCCCUUUACAACAAUGUUAUAUGAAGCACCACAAUGAAACAGGUGUCAAAAAUUCUGUAUUACUAUAUCUAAUGCUUGGAAGGACAACCAAACAGUGGAACUAUUAGUAGCUUGUGUGUGGCCGAUCUAAACAAAUUUUACUAUGAUUCUCUGAAUGUAAUGUUUCUUUAUAAAUAUGAACGCAAAAAGCAAUGUUUUGAAUGUUGGAGAGUGUGUGUUACAAGUGGUUACCAUAUUGUGUUCUGUGACUAGAGUUUUGGAAAAUAACAUCAAUGUUCUAUAACUAGUGAAAAAAUGAUUGGAAAAAACUGUAAUAUGUAGCCAUGUGGUGUUUCUGCAAAAAAAAAAAAAAAUCUGGAGAUGCAUAAAAUGGCCAAUUAAAUUUAAACUUAAAUUUAAGAAAAUUAACCUUUGUCAGUGUGAUGCUUAGUCAGUCUGGAUGUUUUUCUGUAUUUACUCCCCCAUGAAACCCCCAGGGGUCUCGCAUCAUCUCACCUGAACUUCAUCAAUUUGUCUACAGAGUGUAGUGACACUGAGCACCCAGUUGUCCAAGCCAGCAUGGAGCCCUGUGCCGCUUUCCACUUCAGUUAGUCUGCAGACCAAGCUUUGUUGGCCUACCUGGAGGGGAGUCACUGCUUUUGGGAUGUAUCUCUCCAGAGCAGGAUGUGGAAACCAGUUCACCACUAGAGAACCCAGAAGAGAUGGAUGGGAAGCCCAAGAUUCUUAGUCAGCUCUGUGUAGAUGAUGAGCUGGGCUUGUAGCUUAUUUACAUUUCUCAUUGACUACCUUGUGUCUCAUAAAACAAAAACCAAUGAAAGAUACAGUCAAUUACAUAGGUCAGGGGUAAUCAAUUCUGGUCCUGGAGGGCCAGUGUCCUGCAUCCUACCGCAUUUCACAGCAUUCACACCUGGUCUCAGGUAGAUAACCACCAGAAAAGACUGUUCAAGUAGGAUGGAAAACCUCCAGGACACCGGCCUUCCAGCGAUUACCCCUGACAUACAUGGAUUGGAUCUUGUUUGCAGUUUUGUGGACUGAAGACCAAGUACAGCUGUACUUCGAAAAAAAUGUCUGAGGUUUCUGUUGCCAGUAUAAGUACCUUAUUGUGGUUUCAACACAAUAACUAUACACCAGACUAACGGACAAAGGGGUAAAUCUGGAAAUAAAUUCUUGCAUGUCCAGA